AGGUGAUGGACAACAGGUUGAUAUUCCUGUACUACCGAUAACCGUUUGAGAGAAGGGAUGACACAGUAGGAUAAGCUAAGCACACUGUUGGUUAUGUGUGCCCAAGCAUUGAGGCAGUCAAAGUAGGCAAAUCCGCUUUGAUAAUGCUGGGGUGUGAUGGGGAGCGAAAUUUAGUAGCGAAGUAGCUGAUUUCACACUGUCAAGAAAAGUCUCUAUCGAGGUUAAAGGUACCCGUACCGCAAACCGACACAGGGGGGUGAGGAGAGUAUCCUAAGGCCAGCGAGAGAACUGUUGUUAAGGAACUCGGCAAAAUGACCCCGUAACGUAGGGAUAAGGGGUGCCACCAUCAGGUGGCCGCAGAGAAUAGGCCCAAGCGACUGU
This 381-nucleotide ribosomal RNA is filed under the name Clostridioides difficile. Its description in RNAcentral is "bacterial LSU rRNA". It matches the Rfam family "Bacterial large subunit ribosomal RNA", at positions 1413 to 1803 of the family's 2925-position model. The record is from RNAcentral. Lineage: Bacteria; Bacillati; Bacillota; Clostridia; Peptostreptococcales; Peptostreptococcaceae.